Non-coding RNA from Paramuricea clavata, 425 nucleotides. NCBI's taxonomy places the organism in Eukaryota, Metazoa, Cnidaria, Anthozoa, Malacalcyonacea, Plexauridae. The record is from the annotation of a GenBank genome assembly.
GUUCGUAAUAUAAUCUGUGAGAAAUUUGCUUUUUUUGGCCGGCUCCGUUUCCCCACUUAAAGAAACUUUAUUUUAUGUAACGUAUAUCAUUAAUAUUUUUAAUUUAUUUCAGCUGCAACCAUGUAUGGUGACUAACUUGUAUGUUUUAAUUUCGAUUGUUUCCCUAAGGCUGGCUUAAGACUGGUUUACAUACGCAUUAAAAUGUCUGUAUAAUUCAGUAAUACUUGUUUUCCCAAAAUUGUUACAACCGCGAUCAAAUUAUUUUGUCCGGAGAACAAAUCUCUCAAUCCUAUUUUGUGUUCAGUAAUUAACCAUCCGUUCUUCGUUCCAUUUUCCCCAAAUAUUUUAUUUUUUCUUCCUAUCCAAAUCCAUGUUUUGCCGACUGGGAUUCAAUAUAUUGCCGACUACCUUAUUGACUGGGGGGG